Molecule: ribosomal RNA, 1246 nt
Filed under: Aster yellows phytoplasma
Lineage: Bacteria; Bacillati; Mycoplasmatota; Mollicutes; Acholeplasmatales; Acholeplasmataceae
Description: bacterial SSU rRNA
Rfam family: Bacterial small subunit ribosomal RNA
Source: RNAcentral
GAAACGACUGCUAAGACUGGAUAGGAGACAAGAAGGCAUCUUCUUGUUUUUAAAAGACCUAGCAAUAGGUAUGCUUAGGGAGGAGCUUGCGUCACAUUAGUUAGUUGGUGGGGUAAAGGCCUACCAAGACUAUGAUGUGUAGCCGGGCUGAGAGGUUGAACGGCCACAUUGGGACUGAGACACGGCCCAAACUCCUACGGGAGGCAGCAGUAGGGAAUUUUCGGCAAUGGAGGAAACUCUGACCGAGCAACGCUGUGUGAACGAUGAAGUAUUUCGGUACGUAAAGUUCUUUUAUUAGGGAAGAAUAAAUGAUGGAAAAAUCAUUCUGACGGUACCUAAUGAAUAAGCCCCGGCUAACUAUGUGCCAGCAGCCGCGGUAAUACAUAGGGGGCAAGCGUUAUCCGGAAUUAUUGGGCGUAAAGGGUGCGUAGGCGGUUAAAUAAGUUUAUGGUCUAAGUGCAAUGCUCAACAUUGUGAUGCUAUAAAAACUGUUUAGCUAGAGUAAGAUAGAGGCAAGUGGAAUUCCAUGUGUAGUGGUAAAAUGCGUAAAUAUAUGGAGGAACACCAGUAGCGAAGGCGGCUUGCUGGGUCUUUACUGACGCUGAGGCACGAAAGCGUGGGGAGCAAACAGGAUUAGAUACCCUGGUAGUCCACGCCGUAAACGAUGAGUACUAAACGUUGGGUAAAACCAGUGUUGAAGUUAACACAUUAAGUACUCCGCCUGAGUAGUACGUACGCAAGUAUGAAACUUAAAGGAAUUGACGGGACUCCGCACAAGCGGUGGAUCAUGUUGUUUAAUUCGAAGGUACCCGAAAAACCUCACCAGGUCUUGACAUGCUUCUGCAAAGCUGUAGAAACACAGUGGAGGUUAUCAGUUGCACAGGUGGUGCAUGGUUGUCGUCAGCUCGUGUCGUGAGAUGUUGGGUUAAGUCCCGCAACGAGCGCAACCCUUAUUGUUAGUUACCAGCACGUAAUGGUGGGGACUUUAGCAAGACUGCCAGUGAUAAAUUGGAGGAAGGUGGGGACGACGUCAAAUCAUCAUGCCCCUUAUGACCUGGGCUACAAACGUGAUACAAUGGCUGUUACAAAGGGUAGCUGAAGCGCAAGUUUUUGGCGAAUCUCAAAAAAACAGUCUCAGUUCGGAUUGAAGUCUGCAACUCGACUUCAUGAAGUUGGAAUCGCUAGUAAUCGCGAAUCAGCAUGUCGCGGUGAAUACGUUCACGGGGUUUGUACACACCGCCCGUCA